RNAcentral lists this ribosomal RNA (462 nucleotides) under uncultured bacterium. Its description in RNAcentral is "bacterial SSU rRNA". It matches the Rfam family "Bacterial small subunit ribosomal RNA", at positions 70 to 504 of the family's 1533-position model. The record is from RNAcentral.
GCGAUGGAAGCUUGCUUCUAUCAAUCUUAGUGGCGAACGGGUGAGUAACGCGUAAUCAACCUGCCCUUCAGAGGGGGACAACAGUUGGAAACGACUGCUAAUACCGCAUACGAUCUAAUCUCGGCAUCGAGGAUAGAUGAAAGGUGGCCUCUACAUGUAAGCUAUCACUGAAGGAGGGGAUUGCGUCUGAUUAGCUAGUUGGAGGGGUAACGGCCCACCAAGGCGAUGAUCAGUAGCCGGUCUGAGAGGAUGAACGGCCACAUUGGGACUGAGACACGGCCCAGACUCCUACGGGAGGCAGCAGUGGGGAAUCUUCCGCAAUGGACGAAAGUCUGACGGAGCAACGCCGCGUGAGUGAUGACGGCCUUCGGGUUGUAAAGCUCUGUUAAUCGGGACGAAAGGCCUUCUUGCGAAUAGUGAGAAGGAUUGACGGUACCGGAAUAGAAAGCCACGGCUAACUAC